RNAcentral lists this ribosomal RNA (691 nucleotides) under Dialister sp. RNAcentral's name for it is "bacterial SSU rRNA". It matches the Rfam family "Bacterial small subunit ribosomal RNA", at positions 61 to 719 of the family's 1533-position model. Lineage: Bacteria; Bacillati; Bacillota; Negativicutes; Veillonellales; Veillonellaceae. The record is from RNAcentral.
GUCGAACGGGAGGAAAAGAGAAGCUUGCUUCUUUUUGAAUCUAGUGGCAAACGGGUGAGUAACACGUAAACAACCUGCCUUCAGGAUGGGGACAACAGACGGAAACGACUGCUAAUACCGAAUGUGUUCCGGAAACCGCAUGAUUUCCGGAAGAAAGGAUGGCCUCUAUUUAUAAGCUAUCGCCUGAAGAGGGGUUUGCGUCUGAUUAGGCAGUUGGUGAGGUAACGGCCCACCAAACCUACGAUCAGUAGCCGGUCUGAGAGGAUGAACGGCCACACUGGAACUGAGACACGGUCCAGACUCCUACGGGAGGCAGCAGUGGGGAAUCUUCCGCAAUGGACGAAAGUCUGACGGAGCAACGCCGCGUGAGUGAUGACGGCCUUCGGGUUGUAAAGCUCUGUGAUCGGGGACGAAUGGCUGGUAUGCUAAUACCAUAUCAGAGUGACGGUACCCGAAUAGCAAGCCACGGCUAACUACGUGCCAGCAGCCGCGGUAAUACGUAAGUGGCAAGCGUUGUCCGGAAUUAUUGGGCGUAAAGCGCGCGCAGGCGGCUUCUUAAGUCCAUCUUAAAAGUGCGGGGCUUAACCCCGUGAUGGGAUGGAAACUGGGAGGCUGGAGUAUCGGAGAGGAAAGUGGAAUUCCUAGUGUAGCGGUGAAAUGCGUAGAGAUUAGGAAGAACACCGGUGGCGAA